RNAcentral lists this transfer RNA (75 nucleotides) under Candidatus Bathyarchaeota archaeon. RNAcentral describes it as "tRNA-Ile". It matches the Rfam family "tRNA". Rfam says of the family: Transfer RNA (tRNA) molecules are approximately 80 nucleotides in length. Their secondary structure includes four short double-helical elements and three loops (D, anti-codon, and T loops). Further hydrogen bonds mediate the characteristic L-shaped molecular structure. tRNAs have two regions of fundamental functional importance: the anti-codon, which is responsible for specific mRNA codon recognition, and the 3' end, to which the tRNAs corresponding amino acid is attached (by aminoacyl-tRNA synthetases). tRNAs cope with the degeneracy of the genetic code in two manners: having more than one tRNA (with a specific anti-codon) for a particular amino acid; and 'wobble' base-pairing, i.e. permitting non-standard base-pairing at the 3rd anti-codon position. Lineage: Archaea; Thermoproteati; Candidatus Bathyarchaeota. The record is from RNAcentral. RNAcentral also lists the same sequence under 3 other names.
GGGCCCGUAGCUCAGCCUGGUUAGAGCACUCGGCUGAUAACCGGGGGGUCGUGGGUUCGAAUCCCACCGGGCCCA